UUGGAGGGCAAGUCUGGUGCCAGCAGCCGCGGUAAUUCCAGCUCCAAUAGCGUAUAUUAAAGUUGUUGCAGUUAAAAAGCUCGUAGUUGAAUUUCGGGGUUAGUAGGUUGGUCAUGCCUCUGGUAUGCACUGGCCUCACUGAUUCCUCCUUCCUGAUGAGCCGUAAUGCCAUUAAUUUGGUGUUGCGGGGAAUUUGGACUGUUACUUUGAAAAAGUUAGAGUGUUUAAAGCAAGCUAACGCUUGAAUACAUUAGCAUGGAAUAAUGAAAUAGGACGUUCGAUCCUAUUUUGUUGGUUUCUAGGAUUGACGUAAUGAUUAAUAGGGAUAGUUGGGGGCAUUAGUAUUCAAUUGUCAGAGGUGAAAUUCUUGGAUUUAUUGAAGACUAACUACUGCGAAAGCAUUUGCCAAGGAUGUUUUCAUUAAUCAAGAACGAAAGUUAGGGGAUCGAAGACGAUCAGAUACCGUCGUAGCCUUAACCAUAAACUAUGCCGACUAGGGAUCGGAUGAUGUUAAUUUUUUAAUGACUCAUUCGGCGCCUUACGGGAAAC
RNAcentral lists this ribosomal RNA (549 nucleotides) under uncultured Glomeromycotina. RNAcentral describes it as "SSU rRNA". It matches the Rfam family "Eukaryotic small subunit ribosomal RNA", at positions 548 to 1098 of the family's 1831-position model. The record is from RNAcentral. Lineage: Eukaryota; Fungi; Glomeromycota.